RNAcentral lists this ribosomal RNA (440 nucleotides) under uncultured bacterium. RNAcentral describes it as "partial 16S ribosomal RNA". It matches the Rfam family "Bacterial small subunit ribosomal RNA", at positions 338 to 795 of the family's 1533-position model. The record is from RNAcentral.
CCUACGGGGGGCAGCAGUGGGGAAUAUUGCACAAUGGGGGAAACCCUGAUGCAGCGACGCCGCGUGAGUGAUGAAGUAUUUCGGUAUGUAAAGCUCUAUCAGCAGGGAAGAGAAUGACGGUACCUGAGUAAGAAGCCCCGGCUAACUACGUGCCAGCAGCCGCGGUAAUACGUAGGGGGCAAGCGUUAUCCGGAUUUACUGGGUGUAAAGGGAGCGUAGACGGCGAAGAAAGUCUGAAGUGAAAGCCCGCGGCUCAACCGCGGAACUGCUUUGGAAACUUUUUUGCUGGAGUACCGGAGAGGUAAGCGGAAUUCCUAGUGUAGCGGUGAAAUGCGUAGAUAUUACACAGAACACCGAUUGCGAAGGCAUCUCACGAAUCCGCGAUUGACGCUGAUGCACGAAAGCGUGGGUAUCAAACAGGAUUAGAUACCCCUGUAGUC